Molecule: long non-coding RNA, 1784 nt
Organism: Fukomys damarensis (Damara mole-rat)
Lineage: Eukaryota; Metazoa; Chordata; Mammalia; Rodentia; Bathyergidae
Exons: 5
Source: RefSeq, a predicted model, not a curated record
UUUAAGUCAGCAGGUAUGUUUCAGGGUGACAAAUACAAAUAGCUUAGAAGCAUUCAGCAUGAUAAGAAAUUGUAGGUUUUUAUGUUUUCCCAGGUUCAGCUUGAAAUGUGUUUUGAAAUAACACUUCAGUUCUGAAAUGUGGAGGUGCUCUAAGCAUCUAUUGAGGUAAAUAUUGUGAAUUUCUGCCAAGAAGCCACCACAGUGUACAGCACAAAUGAUCCCUUUACUAAAAAGAGUGCUAGUUUCUUAGAGCAGACAAAGCUAUCAAGGAAACUCCCAACACCUCUGCUUGGCAUCAGGUGAUCAGCCCAUGAUGUGCAUGGCCCAUGAGGGCAUCAGCUGUACCCAGUAGUUACCUCCUGGAUCACCAUGUGAAUGCGUGCCAGCCUCCACAGGAUGCCCACUGUGUCUGCCUCUACACCAACAGCAUACUUUCAUUUUGUUCCAUCUCUAUCACCGCACUGGCUUCACCUUGUUCCCCAUGUCUCAGUCUACUUCUGUCCUGCUCAAAGCAGUCAGCAUAAUUCUGUCAAAGGGACCCAUUUUCUCUGUAAUCAUUCUAUCUCUUGGACUCAAGAUUAUCAGAGACAUGAGCAUUUUACCAUUAACAAGAGACUCUAUCAAGGGAAUGUGAGAGAAGAUGCCUCCUGAAACCCCUCACCUGCAGGUUCUGGGGAAUCGAUUGCUCGCGUUCACUAAGAAUCUCUUCACAAAGGUCAAACUGCUGAGUAGUGCAAAAGAAGAACUCUGAACAGGAAGCAUAAAGUAAGAGAGAAAACUCAGACAGUUUAUCACGAGUGUCCGAGUACAGCAGAAUUAAUCUCAUUAUGGCCUCUGUCUCACUCCUGGUCCCCCACUGGAAAAAUCCCAGUAUCCUCACUAUUCCCUUUACCCAAGUCUCCCCAGAAGACCGUGCAGGCCCUCGCAGGGAGGCUUUUGUGCUCCUGUAGCCUGUCUGCCCCUGGGCCUGCCAGGCUGAGAAUUAGGUUCUAUUCAUAAUCCUCACUGUCUCUCCAAGUCCUCCGACUUCUUCCCCAAGUCUCAUGUCAGACUAGACCACAUUAUUUCACUCAGUGGCCUUCACUGUUUCUACAGUGUAUUAAGAAGAUCUCCCUCUCCCCGGCCCUCUCAUUUCUUGAAGAUUGUUUAGCUCCUGGUUUCUAUCACUUUCUAGCCUUUCUCUAUCUUAAUGUUUGGUGACUUUGAGGUUCUGAUAGACGAUCUUUUUAGUGCUCUAGGCUCUCCAUUCCUUGAAUUCCUUCCUUCCAAAGCUUUUGUCCCCAGCUGUGCAGCCACACACUCCCAUGUUAUGUUCCAAAUCAACCAAUAAUUGUACCUCCUCUGUACUUCAAGUGUAUGCAGCCCAAUCUCAGACCACUAUCUCCUGUCUAUUCUCCUUAGGAGCUUGGCUCCAAGACUUCCCAACCUCUUAUCCACCUUGUCCUGCCAUUUGUUCACUGUUGCACACCCCGCACAGAUCCCUUGCCCUCUUUACCCAUCUUACACCCAUGGCUAAUCAUUAUGACCACUCGACAAAGGACUCCGGCUUCCCCAGCCUCUCUCUGACAUAGCUCUGCUCUGACAAAGUCACAGCUCACGUUGGACCUGCCGUAUUUUCCACCUGCCUCAUCUCUGCAUCUCUGCAGUUGAAUACAGCUGGAAAGAAGCACUCAGCCUCCUUCACUGGCUUCACGUUGAGGUCAAGACGACCAUCCUCGGCGAGACCUUCAAUACUGUCACGGAGCAGGGCCUCACUGUGUAGCCCAGGCUGGCCUUGAACUCAC